Molecule: ribosomal RNA, 1246 nt
Filed under: Colletotrichum gloeosporioides
Lineage: Eukaryota; Fungi; Ascomycota; Sordariomycetes; Glomerellales; Glomerellaceae
Description: eukaryotic LSU rRNA
Rfam family: Eukaryotic large subunit ribosomal RNA
Source: RNAcentral
UCAGUAACGGCGAGUGAAGCGGCAACAGCUCAAAUUUGAAAUCUGGCCCUAGGCCCGAGUUGUAAUUUGCAGAGGAUGCUUUUGGUGCGGUGCCUUCCAAGUUCCCUAGAACGGGACGCCAGAGAGGGUGAGAGCCCCGUACAGUUGGACACCAAGCCUUUGUAAAGCUCCUUCGACGAGUCGAGUAGUUUGGGAAUGCUGCUCAAAAUGGGAGGUAUAUUUCUUCUAAAGCUAAAUACCGGCCAGAGACCGAUAGCGCACAAGUAGAGUGAUCGAAAGAUGAAAAGCACUUUGAAAAGAGGGUUAAACAGCACGUGAAAUUGUUAAAAGGGAAGCGCUUGUGACCAGACUUGCGUCCGGUGAAUCACCCAGCUCUCGCGGCUGGGGCACUUCGCCGGCUCAGGCCAGCAUCAGCUCGCUGUCGGGGACAAAAGCUUCAGGAACGUAGCUCUCUUCGGGGAGUGUUAUAGCCUGUUGCAUAAUACCCUUCGGCGGGCUGAGGUACGCGCUCCGCAAGGAUGCUGGCAUAAUGGUCAUCAGCGACCCGUCUUGAAACACGGACCAAGGAGUCAACCUUAUGUGCGAGUGUUCGGGUGUCAAACCCCUACGCGUAAUGAAAGUGAACGCAGGUGAGAGCUUCGGCGCAUCAUCGACCGAUCCUGAUGUUCUCGGAUGGAUUUGAGUAAGAGCAUAUAGGGUUGGACCCGAAAGAAGGUGAACUAUGCGUGUAUAGGGUGAAGCCAGAGGAAACUCUGGUGGAGGCUCGCAGCGGUUCUGACGUGCAAAUCGAUCGUCAAAUAUGCGCAUGGGGGCGAAAGACUAAUCGAACCUUCUAGUAGCUGGUUUCCGCCGAAGUUUCCCUCAGGAUAGCAGUGUUGAACUCAGUUUUAUGAGGUAAAGCGAAUGAUUAGGGACUCGGGGGCGCUAUAUUGCCUUCAUCCAUUCUCAAACUUUAAAUAUGUAAGAAGCCCUUGUUACUUAAUUGAACGUGGGCAUUCGAAUGUAUCAACACUAGUGGGCCAUUUUUGGUAAGCAGAACUGGCGAUGCGGGAUGAACCGAACGCGAGGUUAAGGUGCCAGAGUAGACGCUCAUCAGACACCACAAAAGGUGUUAGUACAUCUUGACAGCAGGACGGUGGCCAUGGAAGUCGGAAUCCGCUAAGGACUGUGUAACAACUCACCUGCCGAAUGUACUAGCCCUGAAAAUGGAUGGCGCUCAAGCGUCUCACCCAUACCUCGCCCUCAG